AUCCCUUGACAUGUCGUGCCAUCCGGAGAGAUCCGGGGUUCCCUUCGGGGACGCGAACACAGGUGCUGCAUGGCUGUCGUCAGCUCGUGUCGUGAGAUGUUGGGUUAAGUCCCGCAACGAGCGCAACCCACGUCCUUAGUUGCCAUCAUUCAGUUGGGCACUCUAGGGAGACUGCCGGUGAUAAGCCGCGAGGAAGGUGUGGAUGACGUCAAGUCCUCAUGGCCCUUACGGGAUGGGCUACACACGUGCUACAAUGGCGGUGACAGUGGGACGCGAAACCGCGAGGUUGAGCAAAUCCCCAAAAACCGUCUCAGUUCAGAUUGCACUCUGCAACUCGAGUGCAUGAAGGCGGAAUCGCUAGUAAUCGUGGAUCAGCAUGCCACGGGAA
This 388-nucleotide ribosomal RNA is filed under the name uncultured Alphaproteobacteria bacterium. RNAcentral's name for it is "bacterial SSU rRNA". It matches the Rfam family "Bacterial small subunit ribosomal RNA", at positions 976 to 1365 of the family's 1533-position model. The record is from RNAcentral. Lineage: Bacteria; Pseudomonadati; Pseudomonadota; Alphaproteobacteria.